GACGAACGCUGGCGGCGUGCUUAACACAUGCAAGUCGAACGGAAAGGCCUGCUUUCCCUUGUGGAUUGCGGGUACUCGAGUGGCGAACGGGUGAGUAACACGUGAGUGAUCUGCCCCCAACUUGGGUAUAAGCCUGGGAAACUGGGUCUAAUUCCCGAUAGGACUGCAGGGUGGUGCCUGUGGUGGAGAACGAUUUUCUAGUGGUUGGGGAUGAGCUCGCGGCCUAUCAGCUUGUUGGUGGGGUAAUGGCCUACCAAGGCGGCGACGGGUAGCCGGCCUGAGGGUGGACGGCCACAUUGGGACUGAGAUACGGCCCAGACUCCUACGGGAGGCAGCAGUGGGGAAUAUUGCACAAUGGGCGGAAGCCUGAUGCAGCGACGCCGCGUGGGGGAUGACGGCCUUCGGGUUGUAAACUCCUUUCGACCGCGAGGAAGCCACCUGGUUGGAAGGGUGGUGACGGUAGUGGUAGAAGAAGCACCGGCUAACUACGUG
This 492-nucleotide ribosomal RNA is filed under the name uncultured bacterium. Its description in RNAcentral is "partial 16S ribosomal RNA". It matches the Rfam family "Bacterial small subunit ribosomal RNA", at positions 28 to 507 of the family's 1533-position model. The record is from RNAcentral.